Pristis pectinata (smalltooth sawfish) is the source of this 1522-nucleotide long non-coding RNA. RefSeq lists it as uncharacterized. NCBI's taxonomy places the organism in Eukaryota, Metazoa, Chordata, Chondrichthyes, Rhinopristiformes, Pristidae. The record is from RefSeq and is a predicted model, not a curated record. The transcript has 5 exons.
GCAGAAGUGGUAGCAGGAGUAAACGGGGAAGGUCGGGUGUUUGGGAGUGAAUGCAGGAGCCUCUUGUAUAGAUAAUUUAGAGUUUUUUUUCAGAAGGCCAGAAUUGACAGAUGGAAGAGUGCAACAACAGUUGUGGUAAUAGGAGGGGAAACAGUUGUGGUUGGCUUAAAGCAACUCCCAAUGCAUCCCAGUGGCUGGGAAGUAAACCUAAUUGUGUGAAGCCACCUGACUUCUGAAUAACAUCUGCAGAAUUACACAUCAGAGACUGGAUGAGAGCUGCCAGUGGUAAAGCCAACACUUAUCGCCCAUCUGUAAUUGCCCUGAAAUCAUAAUGAACUACUUCAUGAAUCAAUGCAGUUGUUGUGGUGAAGGUUCACUCAAGGUCAAGCCUGGUCAUCAGAAGAACUGGUUUGAGAAGAUCCCCCUCCUGUAAAAUUGCAUAGCUUAAUGGAUUGCCAGUAUGCACAGUAUUCUACAGGCCGGAGUAUCUCACCUGCCUCAAUGACUUUUACACGUUUCUGCAAUUUGCCUAUACAUCUGUUCCUCUAAUUCCCACUGACUAUUCACAGGUCAACUUUAAAGGGAAAAAACACAAGGAAGCAGCCGUGACAUUGGUAUGUUCAGAAGAUGGCUUCAUUAAUAAACAAAAUAAUUUAGAACCAUUUCUGCUGGGUCUUCAUAUAAAUGCAUUAUAAAAAGGUCUUGACAUUUGUAGAGAGGACACCUAGUUGAGAGGUGCUGCAACAACCACCUCUCGCUCAACAUCAGCAAAACUGAAGAGCUGAUUCUUGACUUUAGGAAGGGGAAGGAGGGUGAACAUGCGCCAGUCUACCUUGGGGGAAAUCAGUGGUGGAGAGAGUCAGCAACUUUAAAUUCCUGGGUGUUAACAUAUCAGAUGACCUGUCCUGGGCCCAGCACAUAAGAUGCAGUCAUAAGGAAAGUGUGCCAGCACCUUCACUUUCUUAGGAGGUUUAGCUUGUCACUGAACAAACUUCUACAGGUGUACUGUUGAAAGUAUCCUGAUUGGUUGCAUCAUGAUCUGGUAUGGCAUUUGAAUACGCAAGAAGUUGCAGAGUGUAGUGGACUCUUCCCAAUACAUCAAGGAUACAUCCCUCCCCACCAUCAGUAGUAUCCACAGGAGGCGCUGCCUCAAGAAGGCAACAUCCAUCAUCGAAGAUCCCCACCAUCCAGGCCAUACCAUCUUCUCGCAGCUCCCAUCAGGCAGGAGGUACAGAAGCGUGAGGUCCCACACCACCAGGUUCAGGAACAGCUACCUCCCUUCGACCAUUCAGUUCAUGAAUCAACCAGCAAAACCCUAAUCACUAGUUUAGCAACAUUAUGGCCACUUUGAUCACUUUGCACUAAAAUGGACUUUGUUUGUUCUAACUGUAUUCUUUCUUGUAAAAAUUGUAUAAUUUGUUUUUCUUGUGAAUGCUACUUGUAUGAUGCUAUGUGCGUGUGAUGCUGCUGCAAGUAAGUUUCUCAUUGCACCUGUGCAUACAUGUACUAGUGCACAUGACAA